RNAcentral lists this ribosomal RNA (230 nucleotides) under uncultured bacterium. RNAcentral's name for it is "partial 16S ribosomal RNA". It matches the Rfam family "Bacterial small subunit ribosomal RNA", at positions 562 to 791 of the family's 1533-position model. The record is from RNAcentral.
AAAGCGUGCGCAGGCGGUUAUAUAAGACAGAUGUGAAAUCCCCGGGCUCAACCUGGGAACUGCAUUUGUGACUGUAUAGCUGGAGUGCGGCAGAGGGGGAUGGAAUUCCGCGUGUAGCAGUGAAAUGCGUAGAUAUGCGGAGGAAUACCGAUGGCGAAGGCAAUCCCCUGGGCCUGCACUGACGCUCAUGCACGAAAGCGUGGGGAGCAAACAGGAUUAGAUACCCUUGU